This 213-nucleotide ribosomal RNA is filed under the name uncultured Actinomycetales bacterium. Its description in RNAcentral is "partial 16S ribosomal RNA". It matches the Rfam family "Bacterial small subunit ribosomal RNA", at positions 117 to 334 of the family's 1533-position model. The record is from RNAcentral. Lineage: Bacteria; Bacillati; Actinomycetota; Actinomycetes; Actinomycetales.
GUGGGUGAUCUGCCCUGCACUUCGGGAUAAGCCUGGGAAACUGGGUCUAAUACCGGAUAGGAGCCAUUUUUAGUGUGAUGGUUGGAAAGUUUUUCGGUGUAGGAUGAGCUCGCGGCCUAUCAGCUUGUUGGUGGGGUAAUGGCCUACCAAGGCGGCGACGGGUAGCCGGCCUGAGAGGGUGGACGGCCACAUUGGGACUGAGAUACGGUCCAG